RNAcentral lists this ribosomal RNA (505 nucleotides) under uncultured bacterium. Its description in RNAcentral is "bacterial SSU rRNA". It matches the Rfam family "Bacterial small subunit ribosomal RNA", at positions 29 to 523 of the family's 1533-position model. The record is from RNAcentral.
AGUGAACGCUGGCGGCAGGCCUAAUACAUGCAAGUCGAACGGCAGCACAGCAGAGCUUGCUCUGUGGGUGGCGAGUGGCGGACGGGUGAGGAAUACGUGGGAAUCUGCCCAGUCGUGGGGGAUAACGUAGGGAAACUUACGCUAAUACCGCAUGCGCCCUUCGGGGGAAAGCCGGGGACCUUCGGGCCUGGCGCGACUGGAUGAGCCCACGUCGGAUUAGCUAGUUGGCGGGUAAAGGCCCACCAAGGCGACGAUCCGUAGCUGGUCUGAGAGGAUGAUCAGCCACACUGGAUCUGAGACACGGUCCAGACUCCUACGGGAGGCAGCAGUAGGGAAUAUUGGACAAUGGGCGCAAGCCUGAUCCAGCCAUGCCGCGUGAGUGAAGAAGGCCCUCGGGUUGUAAAGCUCUUUUAGUCCGGAAAGAAAAGCGCCGGGUUAAUACCCUGGUGUCCUGACGGUACCGGAGAAUAAGCACCGGCUAACUUCGUGCCAGCAGCCGCGGUAA